RNAcentral lists this ribosomal RNA (557 nucleotides) under Caulobacter sp. BvIRHM095. Its description in RNAcentral is "bacterial SSU rRNA". It matches the Rfam family "Bacterial small subunit ribosomal RNA", at positions 102 to 694 of the family's 1533-position model. Lineage: Bacteria; Pseudomonadati; Pseudomonadota; Alphaproteobacteria; Caulobacterales; Caulobacteraceae. The record is from RNAcentral. RNAcentral also lists the same sequence under 11 other names.
ACGGGUGAGUAACACGUGGGAACGUGCCCUUUGGUUCGGAACAACUCAGGGAAACUUGAGCUAAUACCGGAUGUGCCCUUCGGGGGAAAGAUUUAUCGCCAUUGGAGCGGCCCGCGUAGGAUUAGCUAGUUGGUGGGGUAAAGGCCCACCAAGGCUACGAUCCUUAGCUGGUCUGAGAGGAUGAUCAGCCACAUUGGGACUGAGACACGGCCCAAACUCCUACGGGAGGCAGCAGUGGGGAAUCUUGCGCAAUGGGCGAAAGCCUGACGCAGCCAUGCCGCGUGAAUGAUGAAGGUCUUAGGAUUGUAAAAUUCUUUCACCGGGGACGAUAAUGACGGUACCCGGAGAAGAAGCCCCGGCUAACUUCGUGCCAGCAGCCGCGGUAAUACGAAGGGGGCUAGCGUUGCUCGGAAUUACUGGGCGUAAAGGGAGCGUAGGCGGAUAGUUUAGUCAGAGGUGAAAGCCCAGGGCUCAACCUUGGAAUUGCCUUUGAUACUGGCUAUCUUGAGUACGGAAGAGGUAUGUGGAACUCCGAGUGUAGAGGUGAAAUUCGUAGA